This 653-nucleotide ribosomal RNA is filed under the name uncultured bacterium. RNAcentral's name for it is "bacterial SSU rRNA". It matches the Rfam family "Bacterial small subunit ribosomal RNA", at positions 59 to 689 of the family's 1533-position model. The record is from RNAcentral.
AAGUCGAGCGAGAAAGGGGCUUCGGUCCUGAGUAAAGCGGCGGACGGGUGCGUAACACGUGGAUAAUCUGCCCUUCGGCGGGGGACAACAGUUCGAAAGGACUGCUAAUACCGCAUACGUCGGCAGGGACUCCGGUCUCUGUCGGGAAAGAGGGCGCCCGCAAGGGGCUCUCACCGGAGGAUGAGUCCGCGGCCCAUCAGCUAGUUGGCGGGGUAACAGCCCACCAAGGCAAAGACGGGUAGCUGGUCUGAGAGGAUGAUCAGCCACACUGGGACUGAGACACGGCCCAGACUCCUACGGGAGGCAGCAGUGGGGAAUAUUGGGCAAUGGGCGCAAGCCUGACCCAGCCAUGCCGCGUGAGUGAUGAAGGCCUUCGGGUCGUAAAGCUCUGUGGGGAGGGACGAACGACCGGGGAAUUAAUACCUCCCCGGAGUGACGGUACCUCCUUAGCAAGCACCGGCUAACUCCGUGCCAGCAGCCGCGGUAAUACGGAGGGUGCAAACGUUGCUCGGAAUCAUUGGGCGUAAAGCGUACGUAGGCGGUCCAUUAAGUCGGGUGUGAAAGCCCACGGCUCAACCGUGGAAGUGCAUUCGAAACUGAAGGGCUUGAGUACGGAAGAGGGUCUCGGAAUUCCCGGUGUAGAGGUGAAAUUC